UAUCUCGGCUCUUGCAUCGAUGAAGAACGUAGCGAAAUGCGAUACUUGGUGUGAAUUGCAGAAUCCCGUGAACCAUCGAGUCUUUGAACGCAAGUUGCGCCUGAAGCCACUAGGUUGAAGGCACGUCUGCCUGGGCGUCACGCAUUGCGUCACCCACUCCCCCGUGCCUAAGCGGGCAUG
RNAcentral lists this ribosomal RNA (180 nucleotides) under Gaultheria insana. RNAcentral's name for it is "5.8S ribosomal RNA". The stretch from base 1 to 140 matches the Rfam family "5.8S ribosomal RNA", at positions 17 to 154 of the family's 154-position model. From Rfam's summary of the family: 5.8S ribosomal RNA (5.8S rRNA) is a component of the large subunit of the eukaryotic ribosome. Lineage: Eukaryota; Viridiplantae; Streptophyta; Magnoliopsida; Ericales; Ericaceae. The record is from RNAcentral.